GUCUACGGCCAUACCACCCUGAAUGCGCCCGAUCUCGUCUGAUCUCGGAAGCUAAGCAGGGUCGGGCCUGGUUAGUACUUGGAUGGGAGAAAAAGCGAGGCAUCAAACC
RNAcentral lists this ribosomal RNA (109 nucleotides) under Neogale vison (American mink). Lineage: Eukaryota; Metazoa; Chordata; Mammalia; Carnivora; Mustelidae. The record is from RNAcentral.